AGUGGCGAACGGGUGAGUAACACAUCGGAACGUGUCCUGACGUGGGGGAUAACCAGUCGAAAGACUGGCUAAUACCGCAUACGCUCGGGAGAGGAAAGCGGGGGCUCGCAAGACCUCGCGCGGCAGGAGCGGCCGAUGUCGGAUUAGCUAGUUGGUGGGGUAAAGGCUUACCAAGGGUACGAUGGGUAGCUGGUCUGAGAGGACGAUCAGCCACACUGGAACUGAGACACGGUCCAGACUCCUACGGGAGGCAGCAGUGGGGAAUAUUGCGCAAUGGGGGAGACCCUGACGCAGCCACGCCGCGUGAGUGAUGAAGGCCUUCGGGUUGUAAAGCUCUGUCGGGAGGGAAGACAUCGACGGUACCUCCCAAGAAAGCACCGGCUAACUCCGUGCCAGCAGCCGCGGUAAUACGUAGGGUGCGAGCGUUAAUCGGAAUUACUGGGCGUAAAGCGUGCGCAGGCGGUACGUUAAGACAGGUGUGAAAUCCCCGGGCUUAACCUGGGAAUUGCGCUUGUGACUGGCGUGCUCGAGUGCGGCAGAGGGGGGUGGAAUUCCAGGUGUAGCAGUGAAAUGCGUAGAUAUCUGGAGGAGCACCGAUGGCGAAGGCAGCCCCCUGGGCCGACACUGACGCUCAGGCACGAAAGCGUGGGGAGCAAACAGGAUUAGAUACCCUGGUAGUCCACGCCCUAAACGAUGUCGACUGGUUGUUG
This 710-nucleotide ribosomal RNA is filed under the name uncultured Burkholderiales bacterium. RNAcentral's name for it is "bacterial SSU rRNA". It matches the Rfam family "Bacterial small subunit ribosomal RNA", at positions 94 to 825 of the family's 1533-position model. The record is from RNAcentral. Lineage: Bacteria; Pseudomonadati; Pseudomonadota; Betaproteobacteria; Burkholderiales.